GAUAAAAAAUUAUAAUAAUUGUAACAGAAAAGAAUAAAAUUAAAAAAGGUGAAACAAAAAAAAAAUUAUUAAUAAAAAGUACUGAAAAGGAAAAGUAAAUCUUAAAAAUAAAAGUUUUUAUACCUUUAGUAUUAGGGUUGAUUAAUUGUUAAAUUAAAUAAAUUUUUAUCUCGAAAGUAAUUGAUCUAAUUUUUAUAAAAUAUAAAUAUGGAAGUAUUUGGAAAAAAUAAAAAUUUGGUUUGAAAUUAGUUUCAUAAUUAUAUAUCUAGUUAAAAAAAUAAUAUUUUAUGUAAGAAUUAUAAUUAUUUUUUUUAAAAAAAUAAUAAUUUGAAAAUUAAGGGAUAAGCUUUAAUUUUUUAUAUAGAUAAAAAGAAACUUAUUCAAAAGGUUUAAAAUUAAUUUAUUUUUGUAGUAAAAAAUUAUCAUAAAGCAGUGAAGUUAUAAAUAAAUAUAAAAAAUAUAAAAAAAUAUUUUUAAAAUAAUGAUUAAAUUAGUAUAAGUUAACAUUUAAAAUUAUGAAUUCGACAAAAUUAUUUCCAACUGUUUAUCAAAAACAUUGUUUUUCAAUAAUAAAAAAUAUGUUCUGCUCAAUGCAAAAAUGUAAAUUGCUGUAGUAAAUUAACUAUACAAAGGUAUUGAAAUAAGACUUUAAUUGAGUGCUAAGAGAAUGGAAUAAUGGUAAUAAAUUUUAUUAUUUUAAAUAAUAAAAUUUAUUAUAAAUAUAAAAAAAUAUUUAUAAAAAAAUUAGACAAGAAGACCCUAUAAAUCUUAAUUAUUAAAAAUAAUUUUAUUGGGGCAAUAAAGAAAUAUUAAAAAAUUUUAUUUUGAAAGUUAAAUAAGAAUAAAAGAAAAGAUACUUUAGGGAUAACAGCGUUAUUAUUUUGGAGAGUUCGUAUCGAUAAAAUAGUUUGCGACCUCGAUGUUGAAUUGAUGGACCUAAUUUAUGAAGAUGUAAAUUAAGGUAGAUUGCUCAUCUAUUAAAUCAUUACAUGAUUUGAGUUCAGACCGACGUGAGUCAGGUUAGUUUCUAUCUAUUUACAAAAUUAUAAUAAUUUAGUACGAAAGGAAUAAUUAAUAGUUUUUAAAAGUUAAA
Molecule: ribosomal RNA, 1093 nt
Filed under: Hypoaspis linteyini
Lineage: Eukaryota; Metazoa; Arthropoda; Arachnida; Mesostigmata; Laelapidae
Description: 16S ribosomal RNA
Rfam family: Archaeal large subunit ribosomal RNA (bases 743-1036)
Source: RNAcentral